GGGGCUGAAGUAGGUCCCAAGGGUAUGGCUGUUCGCCAUUUAAAGUGGUACGCGAGCUGGGUUUAGAACGUCGUGAGACAGUUCGGUCCCUAUCUGCCGUGGGCGCUGGAGAAUUGAGGGGGGCUGCUCCCAGUACGAGAGGACCGGAGUGGACGCAUCACUGGUGUUCGGGUUGUCAUGCCAAUGGCACUGCCCGGUAGCUAAAUGCGGAAGAGAUAAGUGCUGAAAGCAUCUAAGCACGAAACUUGCCCCGAGAUGAGUUCUCCCUGAGACUAUAAGUCUCCUGAAGGAACGUUGAAGACGACGACGUUGAUAGGCCGGGUGUGUAAGCGCAGCGAUGCGUUGAGCUAACCGGUACUAAUGAACCGUGAGGCUUAACCUU
Molecule: ribosomal RNA, 382 nt
Filed under: Cronobacter sakazakii
Lineage: Bacteria; Pseudomonadati; Pseudomonadota; Gammaproteobacteria; Enterobacterales; Enterobacteriaceae
Description: partial 23S ribosomal RNA
Rfam family: Bacterial large subunit ribosomal RNA
Source: RNAcentral